CAUGUUUAAUGGGGUAGCUUAAGAAGGUAGCUUAGCAUAAAGAGGAUUAAAAAUAAAUGAAAAAAGGCAAAACACUAAGGGGCGCCCCUUGAUUAAGCGAACCAAGGCACGUCUCUUAGAGACAGGUGUCAUAAAAUAAUUGGAUAGAGGAGAAGCGUCACUUUGCUCUCAUCUCCGUUCUUCUUUGCCCUCUCGCUCUCGUCUCCGUUCUUCUUUUCUCUCUCUCUCUCUCUCGGUUUGUCUCCUGCAAACACAAUUGAGGAGCAGGAACAUGAAGAGAUUCUCACUGAGAUAUCAUCACAAGGAGAGGAGAGAAGAGGAGAAACUCUCCGGCCGUCGCUCGUGCGAUGUAGAUUCUCGUGUUCUCUUUGACGGCGAUUCGUUAACCGAAUUCAUUUUUCUCUCCGUCGCGCUCGCUCACCAAAAAGCUUUGGUUAACCAGAAUUUAAAUAUCUAUGGAUGGAUGCUUGAAAAACAUAUAGUCAAGAAUAGCAAAAGCAGGAUACGUUCUGUUCUUCCUCUUCUUUCUUUUGUGGCUAAUGGAUUUCAAGUUGUAAUAUUUUAGUUGUCUUUGAUAAGGUCGAAGUUGGAUCUCUGAAACAUUACUUUUCUCUGUGUUUCAAAUAUCGGUUCUGUUUGGUUCUCUUGUUUAGUUGUGUAUGAAAAGUUUGGAUCUUUUGGUUGGCUCUUGUUAAAUAAAACGUUGAGACUUUUCUACUGGUUUGCUUUAUUCUC
Molecule: long non-coding RNA, 735 nt
Organism: Raphanus sativus (radish)
Lineage: Eukaryota; Viridiplantae; Streptophyta; Magnoliopsida; Brassicales; Brassicaceae
Exons: 2
Source: RefSeq, a predicted model, not a curated record